UCCUUCCUGGAAUCCAAUGGUAUCCAUUGGAAAGAGCGGAAAAAUGCUUGCAUUUGUGUACAGGUAUUUCCCAACUUCAUUGGACAACGGGACGAGCGAGAAGGAAUUUCACAAAUACCUAAAUAAAAAACAGUCACAGCUCCAGGCUUUCACCAAAAACAAUCAAAUAUCCUAAUGUUAUUAGUGGUAUUUCUCCCCACCAGCCAACACCCCCGCUUCUGUAAAAUUCGCUCUAUUUAAUAUGCGGGGUUGUUAAAUUCCGCACUUGUUUAUAUUGACUUUUUUACAGAGGUGUCAGAGCGGCGCUGCUGUGAGCUCUGGUAGCACUGCACCCCUGAAUGUAUGAGAUAGUACAGUGUUAAAUGCAAAACCCUGAGCAGUGUCGAUGGUCAGAGGGAUCUUAGACUCCAAGUUCAUCGCUCCCUGAAAGAGACUGCACAGAUUGAUCGGGUGGUUAAGAAGGCAAAUGGCAUGGUUGUCUUUAUUAGUUGAAGCACUGAGUUCAAAAGUCAUGAAGUUGUGUUGCAGCUUUGUAAAACUUGUUAGCUCACAUCUGGAGUGUUUCAUACUGUUCUGGUCGCCCCCAUUCUCGGAAGGAUGUCCGGGCUUUGGAGAGGGCGCAGAAGAGGUUUACCAGGAUACUCCCUGGAUUAGAGGGCAUGAGCUAAUUCAAGAGGCUGGACAAACUUGUGUUGUUUUCUCCAGGCUGGGGUGAGACUGGAUGGACGUUUACAAGAUUACGAGAGGAAUAGGUAGAGUGGACAGAGGGUAUGUUUUUUCCUGGGGGUUUGAAAUGUCUGACACAUUUAAGGUGAGAGGAGAUGUGAGGGGCAAGUUUGUUUAUUUCCACAGAGUGCUAGGAAGCUGUAAACUAUGCCUGGGAUGUUAGACCCCACCAGUCACGUGAUCCCAUUUGCCCCUCCCAUUUAACCAUAGAUGUAACAAUCUCUUUGUGCAUGUUCUCAAUCUCCAGGUGGGUGGUCACGCAUCCUCCAUGUUGUGUUGGGGAAAUCUGAUGUUGGCCACUGAGUCCCGUUAACUUCCCCCCAACUGGCCUCGUUUCCUGAAGCUCCUCACAUUUGACCUGGAGCUUUAUGGGUGUUGUGUCUUCUCCCGGACUGGGGUGGGUGAGAAAGGAGAACGUCCCAGGUUGUGGGGAUCUUUGAUUUCACUGCCUGCUUUAGCGAGAGACUGGGAAGUCUCGGGGUGAGAAUGUUUCCUGUGAUGUGCUGAUCUGGACACAAGGACACACAUGCAACCUCUGCCAAGGCUCGAACUAGCAACCUUCAGAUCUCUAGAUGAACGCCUUAACCACUUGGCCACGCGCCAACACAUGUGAUAGUAGAACACAAAAGAAAGCACAAUGUUUCCCUUUAAAUUAUCCUGGUACCAAUUUGUUUGUUAUUCCUGGAAAUGUGUUCAGUACAGUUGUUGCUAACAAGGUGUACAUAAGCAAUCUCAGGAAUGAUCGGCUUUAUGUAUGAGGAGCAUUUGAUGGUUCUGGACCUGUGCUCAAUGGAGUUCAGAGGGAUGGUGGGGGUGGUGGAGGGAUGUAUGGUUAAGUAAACCUACUGAAUGCUGAAAAGCCUGGAUACAGUGGACAUGGAGUGGAUGUUUCCAUUAGACAGCGAGUCUGUGAUCUGACAGCACUGUCUCAGAGUAAAGAUGCUUCUCUUUAAAACUGAGAUGAGAAAAAAGAAAUUGGCCUUAAGGUGUCUGAUCUGUGGAAUUUGUUGCCACAGAGGUUGGUUGAGGCUCCAAUUUGGAUAUAUUUGUGACAGAUUAAUAUAUUCAUGAUUGCUGAGUAGCUUCAGGUUUACAGGAGGAAGACAGGGAUAUGGUGUUGGAAUAAAAAUCAGCCGUGGUUGAAUGAUGGGCAGACCAGAUGUAUCGAAUCACCUAAUUCUGUCUUAUGUCUUACCAUGACUGAAUGAUGGCUCCUUCUUAUCCCAUAUCGUUCUGUGAGAUGUGAGGGACAAUAAAAGAUUGUUCACUGAGAUCGUUAAAUCUGCCUUCAGUGUUUAAAUUUCAGUGAGUUUUGUUCUUAGUAACAUUAAGCAGAAAAGUUUAGUUCUCCUUUUCAUUAUUAAUGUGCUUCAUUGUCUCUCUGGUUAAAGUUAGACCUGUGGUGAGAGAUUUAUUGGAAGAAAAACACCAACUGGAGGCAAACCACGACUGAAGACGAGGGAACAGCAACAAGUGUACCAGCCCGAGGACUGAGAGCACCGACUGGAGAGAAACCAAUCUGACUCGGAGAUUCCAGUGAUUCAGUCAGGAGAAUGUUUGAUCUCAACUUUCUGCAGAUUCCUCCAAAGUGAAGGCUUUUUUUUACAUAAGAUUAAAUUUCCUCAAAUUACUGUUGAAGAUCAACAGAUGCCUGAUGCACCAGUUAUUGAGCAUUUAAUUCAGAAAACUAUGUUGUUAAUGCAGUCAGGUCAAGCUCCUGGACUUGAUGUGUAUUUGGUAGGAUUUUACAUAAAAAUUGAAAGGUUACUUUCUCGUUACCUGUUGGAAAUAUUUCAUGAAUCCUUUGAGAAGGGUAGUUUACCUUUUUAUGAAGCUUCUAUUUCUUUAAUCCUUAAGAAAGAUAAAAAUCCUACUGAACGUUCAUCAUAUAGACCUAUUUCGUUAUUAAAUGUGGAUUUGAAAACUCUCUCUAAGAUAAUGGCUAACCACUUGGAAAAUAUUUCAACUAAAAUUAUCUCGAUGGAGCCAACAGGCUUUAUUAAAGGUCGUUACUGUUUCUCCAGUGUUCGGAGAUUGAUGAACAUUAUAUAUUCAUCACUAUCUAAGGAACCCCAAUGUGUUAUCUCUUUCGAUGCAGGACAGGCAUUUGAUAGAGUUGAGUGGUCAUAUUUGUUUAAAAUUUUAGGAAAAAAUUGGUUUUGGUAAUAAUUUCAACAGGUGGAUUCAAAUGAUUUAUGAGAAUCCUAUUGCCACAGUUAUUACUAAUAAUUUCAGGUCCUUUUUUCCCCACUUUCAGUGGCACAAGACAGGGUUUUCCAUUAAGCCCUUCAUUAUUUAAUCUUGUACUGGAGCCUUUGGCCAUAAAACUCCGUGAAGCUAAAAAUAUUCAUGGUAUUUCUAUGAAUUGAACCAUACAUAAGAUUUCUCUUUACACAGAUGAUCUUUUGGUAAAAGAUUUUGGUAAAUUUUCAGGAUAUAAACUUAACUUCAAUAAAAAGGGGAUUGUUUCCAUGAAAUGCCACUGUGUUUAAAUAUAAUGAUAUUCCAUUUAGAAUUGUUCAUUCUUUUAAAUCUUUAGGUAUUAUAAUUACUAAAUAUAUAUCUUUAUAAAGAUAAUGUAGUUCCUUUAAUGGACUCCAUGAAACAACUAUUUUCUGGAUGGAAUCCACUUACUCUUGCUUUAAUAGGUCGUAUCCAUGCCGUGAAAAUGAUGAUUUUACUUAGAUUUUUAUAUAUUUUUCAAAAUAUUCCUAUCUUUUUAAAUAAAAAAAUUGAUCAAAUUGACUCACUUAUUUUGUACUUUAUUUAGAACAAUAAUUUAGAACAAUGGUUUUUUAUAUUGAAAUUUUUUAUUUAAACCUUCAAUAACUCAUCCGAUUUUUCUCCUGUGGAGAAAUAAGGGGAUCCGGUCUUGUGCAGAUUUACUUUGUGAUGGCCGAUUGAUGACUUUUGAAGAGUUAAUUAGCAAAUAUUCUCUCUCAUACACACUUACUGCAAUAUUUUCAGGUUUGACAUUUUUUUACAACAAUACUUAUCUAAGUUUCUAUAUAUGGCAGAAUCUGAUUUGUUGGAUACAAUUUUGAAUUUGAAUCCAUUAGUAAGAGGUUCCAUUGGUAGAAUUUAUAAUUUAUGUUUACUAUAAAAAGAUAUCCUCUCACUAAAGAUUAAACAAGAUUGUGAGAGAGAACUUAAUAUGACCUUUGUUAAUGAAGAUUGGUUGCGAGUUCUGAAAAUAGUAAAUUCUUCUUUGAUAUGUGCCAAUCACGGUUUAAUUAAGUUUAAAAUUGUUCACCGUUAUAAUUUAACAAAGGUGAGAUAUUCAAGAUAUUUCCUGACAUAGACAAUUACUGUGAUAGGUGUAAAACUAAAAUAGCCACUUUGUCACAUAUAUUCUGGUCAUGUUCUUCUUUAAAAUCUUUUUGGAAAUCUUUGUUUUCUACAAUUUCUAAAGCUCUGAAAAUUAAUUUACAACCUAUUACAUUGACUGUACUAAUUGGAAUAGUUCCACAUCAUAUUCAGGGUAUUGCAUCUUCACAUCAAUGUGUAAUUGCAUUUGUUACAUUGUUUGCAAGAAGGGCUAUUUUAUUAAAGUGGAAAGAUACCUCUGUCCCUACAUUAAUUCAAUGGUUUUCUCAAGUAAUGUUAUAUGUCGGUUUUGGAAAAAAAAAUGGAAGUAGAACUUUUGAUCCUUGAUUGGACUUUGAGAGAAGAUGGGGCUGUUUUGCCAAAUUAUUUAAUUUGUAUUAUUUUAUAUGGUUUCCUUCCAAUUUUAUUUUA
Hypanus sabinus (Atlantic stingray) is the source of this 4464-nucleotide RNA transcript. It is a transcript of the gene named zinc finger protein 773-like, with no coding region annotated. The record is from RefSeq and is a predicted model, not a curated record. Lineage: Eukaryota; Metazoa; Chordata; Chondrichthyes; Myliobatiformes; Dasyatidae. The transcript has 2 exons.